GACGAACGCUGGCGGCGUGCUUAACACAUGCAAGUCGAACGAAGAGCGAUGGAAGCUUGCUUCUAUCAAUCUUAGUGGCGAACGUGUGAGUAACGCGUAAUCAACCUGCCCUUCAGAGGGGGACAACAGUUGGAAACGACUGCUAAUACCGCAUACGAUCUAAUCUCGGCAUCGAGGAUAGAUGAAAGGUGGCCUCUACAUGUAAGCUAUCACUGAAGGAGGGGAUUGCGUCUGAUUAGCUAGUUGGAGGGGUAACGGCCCAACAAGGCGAUGAUCAGUAGCCGGUCUGAGAGGAUGAACGGCCACAAUGGGAAUGAGACCAGGCCCAGACUCCUACGGGAGGCAGCAGUGGGGAAUCUUCCGCAAUGGACGAAAGUCUGACGGAGUAACGCCGCGUGGGCGAGGACGGCCUUCGGGUUGUAAAGCUCUGUUAAUCGGGACGAAAGGCCUUCUUGCGAAUAGUGAGAAGGAUUGACGGUACCGGAAUAGAAAGCCACGGCUAACUACGUG
Molecule: ribosomal RNA, 510 nt
Filed under: uncultured bacterium
Lineage: Bacteria
Description: partial 16S ribosomal RNA
Rfam family: Bacterial small subunit ribosomal RNA
Source: RNAcentral